CCUACGGGUGACAGCAGUGAGGAAUAUUGGUCAAUGGGCGCAAGCCUGAACCAGCCAAGUCGCGUGAGGGAUGACGGUCCUAUGGAUUGUAAACCUCUUUUGUCGGGGAGCAAGUCCCGCCACGUGUGGCGGGAACGAGAGUACCCGAAGUAAAAGCAUCGGCUAACUCCGUGACAGCAGCCGCGGUAAUACGGAGGAUGCGUGAGUUAUCCGGAUUUGUUGGGUUAAAAGGGUGCGUAGGCGGAAGGUUAAGUCAGCGGUAAAAUGUCGGUGCUCAACACCGGCCUGCCGUUGAAACUGGUAUUCUUGAGUGAGCGAGAAGUAUGCGGAAUGCGUGGUGUAGCGGUGAAAUGCAUAGAGAUCACGAAGAACUCUGAUUGCGAAGGCAGCAUACCGGCGCUCAACUGACGCUGAGGCACGAAAGCGUGGGGAUCGAACAGGAUUAGAUACCCGUGUAGUC
RNAcentral lists this ribosomal RNA (460 nucleotides) under uncultured bacterium. RNAcentral's name for it is "partial 16S ribosomal RNA". It matches the Rfam family "Bacterial small subunit ribosomal RNA", at positions 338 to 795 of the family's 1533-position model. The record is from RNAcentral.